Molecule: ribosomal RNA, 440 nt
Filed under: uncultured bacterium
Lineage: Bacteria
Description: partial 16S ribosomal RNA
Rfam family: Bacterial small subunit ribosomal RNA
Source: RNAcentral
CUACGGGCUGCUGCAGUCGAGAAUCUUCCGCAAUGCGCGAAAGCGUGACGGGGCAAUACCGCGUGCAGGAUGACGGCCUUCGGGUUGUAAACUGCUGUCACCAGGGACGAAAUUUGACGGUACCUGGAGAGGAAGCCACGGCUAAAUACGUGCCAGCAGCCGCGGUAAUACGUAUGUGGCGAGCGUUGUUCGGAUUUAUUGGGCGUAAAGGGUCCGCAGGUGGUUCGCUAAGUCUGAUGUGAAAUCCCGAGGCUCAACUUCGGAACUGCAUUGGAGACUGGUGGACUAGAGUAUCCGAGAGGUAAGCGGAAUACCAGGUGUAGCGGUGGAAUGCGAAGAUAUCUGGUAGAACACCGAAAGCGAAGGCAGCUUACUGGACGAUUACUGACACUCAUGGACGAAAGCGUGGGGAGCAAACAGGAUUAGAUACCCUGGUAGUC